This 458-nucleotide ribosomal RNA is filed under the name uncultured bacterium. Its description in RNAcentral is "partial 16S ribosomal RNA". It matches the Rfam family "Bacterial small subunit ribosomal RNA", at positions 338 to 795 of the family's 1533-position model. The record is from RNAcentral.
CCUACGGGGGGCUGCAGUGAGGAAUAUUGGUCAAUGGGCGAAAGCCUGAACCAGCCAAGUCGCGUGAGGGAGUACUGCCCUAUGGGUUGUAAACCUCUUUUGCCGGGGAGCAAAAGCCGGACGUGUCCGGCUGUGAGAGUACCCGAAGAAAAAGCAUCGGCCAACUCCGUGCCAGCAGCCGCGGUCAUACGGAGGAUGCGAGCGUGAUCCGGAUUUAUUGGGUUUGAAGGGUGCGCAGGCGGAUUUUUAAGUCAGCGGUAAAAGCGCGGGGCUCAACCCCAUCCAGCCGUUGAAACUGGGGAUCUAGAGUGUGCGAGAGGUAUGCGGAAUGCGUGGUGUAGCGGUGAAAUGCAUAGAUAUCACGCAGAACCCCGAUUGCGAAGGCAGCAUACCGGUGCACAACUGACGCUGAGGCACGAAAGCGUGGGUAUCGAACAGGAUUAGAUACCCUUGUAGUC